Gossypium raimondii (Peruvian cotton) is the source of this 427-nucleotide long non-coding RNA. RefSeq lists it as uncharacterized. NCBI's taxonomy places the organism in Eukaryota, Viridiplantae, Streptophyta, Magnoliopsida, Malvales, Malvaceae. The transcript is spliced from 3 exons. The record is from RefSeq and is a predicted model, not a curated record.
UGGUUACCCUUCUUCUCCCCUUUCCCCUUCCCUUUCCCCUUCCCCUUGGGUUGCAAAUCAGGUUGGUCAAGGACCUCUUCCGGUUCCUCCUUCAUCCAGAUCUUUGAGGCUCCCUUGCUCAGGCCUGGUCAAAUGAUGCAAAUCUGAAAUGAUCCACUGGUACAGAAGUCUACGCGCUACAAGGAUUUCCACCAAGAGCAGAAGAGAGCAGUAAUGAUAACAUGGUGUUUUGGUAGCAAGCGAGUAGCUAUUACUGGAUCAUGGGACAAUUGGAAGACCAUAGAACCCUUGCACUCUUUGGGUAAAGGUUUCAUUAUCAUGAAGAUGCUCCCAUUUGGUGUUUACCACUACCAAUUCAUUGUAGAUGAGCUGAGGAGAUAUGCUCCAAACUUACCAUGCGAAUUUGAUGAGUCUGGGCGAAUUUGAU